Molecule: ribosomal RNA, 301 nt
Filed under: uncultured bacterium
Lineage: Bacteria
Description: partial 16S ribosomal RNA
Rfam family: Bacterial small subunit ribosomal RNA
Source: RNAcentral
CAGCCGCCACGGUAAUACGUAGGUCCCGAGCGUUGUCCGGAUUUAUUGGGCGUAAAGGGAGCGCAGGCGGUUUAGUAAGUCUGAAGUUAAAGGCAUUGGCUCAACCAAUGUAUGCUUUGGAAACUGUUAGACUUGAGUGCAGAAGGGGAGAGUGGAAUUCCAUGUGUAGCGGUGAAAUGCGUAGAUAUAUGGAGGAACACCGGUGGCGAAAGCGGCUCUCUGGUCUGUCACUGACGCUGAGGCUCGAAAGCGUGGGUAGCGAACAGGAUUAGAUACCCGUGUAGUCCCUGUCUCUUAUACA